AAUACCCCUAGAGGCAUCGCAGGUAUGCCUGCUGUGCCCCGGUAGGUGGCAGAGAGGAGAGAAGCCAUGUCUAUGUUCAGUGUUCUAACCUAUGAACAUCUCAGUGAUUAGGGACCUGACAUU
Molecule: small nucleolar RNA, 123 nt
Filed under: Meriones unguiculatus (Mongolian gerbil)
Lineage: Eukaryota; Metazoa; Chordata; Mammalia; Rodentia; Muridae
Description: Small nucleolar RNA SNORA17 (ENSMUGG00000005507.1)
Rfam family: Small nucleolar RNA SNORA17
About the family: snoRNA ACA 17 belongs to the H/ACA family of snoRNAs and is predicted to guide pseudouridylation of the 28S rRNA at positions U4659 and U4598. It shares the same host gene together with ACA43. NB This family has a high threshold value to exclude a large number of closely related sequences that do not appear to have conserved H and ACA boxes, and may be pseudogenes.
Source: RNAcentral